Molecule: ribosomal RNA, 483 nt
Filed under: uncultured bacterium
Lineage: Bacteria
Description: partial 16S ribosomal RNA
Rfam family: Bacterial small subunit ribosomal RNA
Source: RNAcentral
GACGAACGCUGGCGGCGUGCUUAACACAUGCAAGUCGAACGAUGAUGCCCAGCUUGCUGGGUGGAUUAGUGGCGGACGGGUGAGUAACACGUGAGUAACCUGCCCCUGACCCUGGGAUAAGCGUUGGAAACGACGUCUAAUACUGGAUAUGACUGCCGGCCGCAUGGUCUGGUGGUGGAAAGAUUUUUUGGUUGGGGAUGGACUCGCGGCCUACCAGCUUGUUGGUGAGGUAAUGGCUCACCAAGGCGACGACGGGUAGCCGGCCUGAGGGGGGAACCGGCCACGCUGGGACUGAGACACGGCCCAGACUCCUACGGGAGGCAGCAGUGGGGAAUAUUGCACAAUGGGCGAAAGCCUGAUGCAGCAACGCCGCGUGAGGGAUGACGGCCUUCGGGUUGUAAACCUCUUUUAGUAGGGAAGAAGCGAAAGUGACGGUACCUGCAGAAAAAGCACCGGCUAACUACGUGCCAGCCGCCGCCGUAA